Molecule: long non-coding RNA, 2646 nt
Organism: Pseudopipra pipra
Lineage: Eukaryota; Metazoa; Chordata; Aves; Passeriformes; Pipridae
Exons: 4
Source: RefSeq, a predicted model, not a curated record
AAGGUGCAAUGGAGCUCUGACCAAUUUAAAACACAUAGAUGUGCUGUGCCUGUGCUGAAAAGAUUGGAAAAGAAAAAGUGAACAUAUAGACUAUGUUCACAUAGACAGCAUGUGCUGUAUUCAUUCAUCAUUGCACUUGUAAGCUUCAACACCUGGGCUUGCUUUUAAACAAAAAAACCUAUGCUUAUUCCUAUCUUUGUAUCAGUCAGUUACAAAAGCUUCACUGUUCUCUUUUUUCCCCCACUUUUUCUGUUUGGUUUUUUUUUUGUCUUUUUCUGCCUGCCUCUGUCCAAAUAAUUUCUCCUUGAAGUUAACAGCCUAACACAUUUCUUGCCUCAUAAGAGUCGGACAUGCAAGAAAACAGUGCCAUGAGAGUACCUAAUACAGGGGAGUGUAUUCUGACAGCACCCUUCAUUUGCACAGUGGAAACCCUAUUGGAAUUGUUUAAUACAGUGCUGUUCUAAGAAUAAUUUAAGAUUCAAGCAAUAACUGAAGAUCAAACCAUCCUGAAUUCCCUAAAUACAUCAAAGGACUAGUUUCAGGGGAAUCUGAGAUCAUACAGGGAAAUAAAGGUGGAGAACUGGAAGGACAGGAAAAGUUCUCUUUCCUGUUCACUACUUUACAAAGCAAAUCUGUUCAAACCUCCUUUCAAUUAGUGAAACCAUAGAGUCACUUGACUUGUCAUUAUAAGGAUAAUUUAUGAAGAGCUUUGUGGUAAAUGUGUCUUUGUAAAUCAUUACAGUCAUUUUAGGAAAAGAAAUAGCUCACAGAAAAGGAUAGUGCUGAAAUAUUAUUUGUUUUUUUCCUUUCCAUAGAACAGGAAGGUCCCUCAGACACAGCUGGACCUUCAUGCUAUUGAAUACUGGAUGAUCACCCCAUACCUUCUGGCUUCUUAAUCAGGUCACUGAGUGGGGCCUACUCCCUGUCCCAGAAGCGGCUGCAAGUCAGUGGCUGGUAUUUAAGUGCAAAAUACACAACUACAAGGGAUAUGCUCUCACUGGAAUUUCAAAUCCAUUCAUUCCAGACCUUGGUUUCCUAUUUUUAUUUUAUACUGAAGAGAAUCAAGGUUGAAUCCAUUUAUCAUUCCAAGGUGUUGGCUCAGAGACACAGGAGUAUCUGCUAUCUUGUACUGGAUCUGCUGCAAGAGAAGUCUCAUGAGAAUAGGUACCUCAGGAGACUGAGAAACUCAAAGGCAGGCUAGUCUGUAAAAUGACAGCCAGCAAAAACACCCUCGAGGUGUUUUAGAGCCAUCUGGAUCUGGCACUGGGUGAUAUGCUUUAGUAGUUUAAGGAUUACAAUGAUAAUGCUGGGUGGAUGGCUGGACUUGGUGAUCUUGAAGACCUCUUCCAAUCUUGACAAAUCUAUGAUUCCAUGAAAAGAUGCAGUGGAGUAGACCAUUGAAAGAAAAGUCUGUGCAGCUCCUGAUGUGACCAGGAAGGCUGCUUCAGGCUCUGCGAGAUGAGGACUGGGGAAGACCUCGAACCAUGUCAGGUCCCAUAGCCUAUGGUCUCUGGAGAAUCAGCUUUGUGGAAGACUCCUUUGUAUUCUGUAACCACAAAAUUCUGUGCACCAUCAAUGGAGUAACAACAUAUUGCUGAGAAGUGAACUCCUUGCUUGAAGAGACUUCGCAACUUUUUUAGAAGAGAAUUGCCUCUAAUUUCAGUCAGUUUCAUUAAUUUACCUUGUGAUUUUCAAAUGACUCAUAUUUCUUUUAGUAAAACAGACUAAAGAACAUAACAUCAAACGCCCAAGUAGGUAUAGUAGGUAUAGUUUCCUGUUCCAAGUCCCUCUGGAAAUCCUGGAAACACAAGAACUGUUCAAAAUGUUGUCAUCUUUUCAUGGCAACAUCAUUAGCUGAAGUUUCUCCAUUUUAGCAGUCCACUGCCUUCACACCUGAUUUAGAAGGCAGUGGGUGAAGAGCAGAUUCAUUCACACACUGCCCAUGCAGCUCAGACUGCCAUGUCACUCACACAUCACGAUCAUUUCCCUUUAUUUCUUGCAUUUUAGGAGUUCUGAGCAUAGGUGAAGUACUGUUACAAUGCCAAAGAGUAAUUGCAUUUUAGGUGCUAUUUCAUGGCAGCAGAGAUAAUUCAAACCUCAGGUUGAUUCCAGGUUUCAAAUAUCAGAAAGCUGGAGAUGGUCAGUUCAAGGGUUCCAAACUUACCACAAGACUCACACUGGGCAAAUGUUAAGUCCAGGGAUUUGCCCAUAAUUAAUUUUUUUUAGUGCAGGAGAAAUUGACUCAUAUGGAAAACUACUGUAAAAGAAAAUUUGACAAAGACGAUGCCACGGUAACUUUUGCUCUCCUGAGAUAUUACAACCUGUGCAAGACAGUUUAUGAAAUAGAUAAUGAGCAUUUGAAAAGCAGUGGUUAAUUACACUUUAGAUAACAACCUCAAUGAGCCAGCUGUCAGGAAAGUGAUGGAUUCAGCUUCUAUUCUAUGUUUACCUGUAGAAAACUCUGCUGAGACCCAAGUAGGAUACUCACAUCUCUCUCUAGACAGAAAGUUCAUGAUAACAGGGGAUUUGAAGAGACAGAAGAUUGAUUUUCAUGAAAAGAUGAACUAGUCAUAUUUCUUUUUACUUUUAUCACAUAGUUGAACAGUUUAACUUUUGAAGAAUGUAAAUAAAUUUAUGUUGAAUGCU